UCAAAAACUGUGAACGGAAAUAGUAGACAUGAUCGGCCUUAAGAGAGCAGAACUGCUGCGCUGAGAGGUUCUGUAGGAUGCGAUACGUCGAAGUCGUCCGGGAGUUGUUUAUUUGAGACCAGACUUGUCUGAUAAUGAUGAUCAGGAGCUGGUAUAGAAUAAACCGGUAGCAGCCGUUAUCUGUCUUAGAGUGUCGUUGUCCGGCCAUUAUGCUAUACGGAUAACGAAACAAAGGUGGUACCACGAGAGCCAGGCCUUUCGUCCUUUGA
Molecule: non-coding RNA, 269 nt
Filed under: Paenibacillus bovis
Lineage: Bacteria; Bacillati; Bacillota; Bacilli; Caryophanales; Paenibacillaceae
Description: T-box sequence
Rfam family: T-box leader
About the family: Uncharged tRNA acts as the effector for transcription antitermination of genes in the T-box leader family. T-boxes are found upstream of many aminoacyl-tRNA synthetase genes and some amino acid biosynthetic genes usually in Gram-positive bacteria. The anticodon of a specific tRNA base pairs to a specifier sequence within the T-box motif, and the NCCA acceptor tail of the tRNA base pairs to a conserved bulge in the T-box antiterminator hairpin.
Source: RNAcentral